RNAcentral lists this ribosomal RNA (412 nucleotides) under Acanthamoeba castellanii. RNAcentral describes it as "SSU rRNA". It matches the Rfam family "Eukaryotic small subunit ribosomal RNA", at positions 785 to 1094 of the family's 1831-position model. The record is from RNAcentral. Lineage: Eukaryota; Discosea; Longamoebia; Acanthamoebidae.
UUUUCUGCCACCGAAUACAUUAGCAUGGGAUAAUGGAAUAGGACCCUGUCCUCCUAUUUUCAGUUGGUUUUGGCAGCGCGAGGACUAGGGUAAUGAUUAAUAGGGAUAGUUGGGGGCAUUAAUAUUUAAUUGUCAGAGGUGAAAUUCUUGGAUUUAUGAAAGAUUAACUUCUGCGAAAGCAUCUGCCAAGGAUGUUUUCAUUAAUCAAGAACGAAAGUUAGGGGAUCGAAGACGAUCAGAUACCGUCGUAGUCUUAACCAUAAACGAUGCCGACCAGCGAUUAGGAGACGUUGAAUACAAAACACCACCAUCGGCGCGGUCGUCCUUGGCGUCUCGGUCCUUCACGGGGCCGGGGCGCGGGGGCGGCUUAGCCCGGUGGCACCGGUGAAUGACUCCCCUAGCAGCUUGUGAG